Triticum dicoccoides is the source of this 2860-nucleotide long non-coding RNA. RefSeq lists it as uncharacterized. The transcript has 7 exons. The record is from RefSeq and is a predicted model, not a curated record. NCBI's taxonomy places the organism in Eukaryota, Viridiplantae, Streptophyta, Magnoliopsida, Poales, Poaceae.
CUAAGCAGGUGCUUUUGAUCCCUUUCGUAGUUCAUGAUACCAUAUUUGAGUGCAUUUUGCUUAAUAUUUGUUACAUGUGUUCUUGAAAAAUAUGUUUGUUUCUGUCGAAGGCGAAACAUAACGUGUGUUACUCCCAUGGUUUAUUUAUUUUCAAAAUACCUAUGGUUCUGUGGAAUCAAUUCUGGAUCUGGAAACCAGAGAGUAUGUGCAUUGCUGCAAUCAUUGAGCUGUGCAUUGUGAAAUUGUACACGUGACAUAUGGCCGGUGCUUGUCUGAAUGCAACCAGAGGAGUCAGGAAUCAGGCAAUGCUACUCAUGGGAAACCAGCACUGUUCAGCAACCGGCCAAAGGUGUGGGGAAGAUGGCGCCUCUUUGUCCACAGGCACAAGUAUGCCAUAACAAUUCGUGUCCCCUUGUGCUCUAAGGGAAUGUAAUACAGCUGCUAAUGCUCUACAAGAGACUUCGGAAGCCUUCUCUGUCUGCAACAUCCAAAAUCAGAUGAAAAGCGUAACAGUAUACAACUCUGGUGAGCUGGAAGAGAGCUAGCUAUAGAUAAGAAGCUAUCUGGCUAUAUUGGUGUUAAUGACAAAACGAAGGGCGGAGUAAUAUGGAAGGAAAUGCGUGUUUCUGUGAUUCUGUCGAAGGCGGAACAUAACGCGGGGUACUCCUAUAAUUAUUGGCAAAAAAAUACUUGAGGUUCUGUGAAGUCCAUUCUGGAUUGAGAAACCAGAGAGUAUGUGCAUUGCUGCAAUCAUCAUGGUCUCAUGGAGUUGUCUAUUGUGGGAUGAGAUUAUACAUACACGGGACAUAUGGCCGGUGCCUGUCCGAACGCAACCCUUGGCGUAUGCAACCGGAGGAAUCGGUCAGGACUCGGGGCAACGUCACUCGUGCACUGUUGAGGACCCAGCAACCGGCCAAGGUAUGGCUUUGGCAUGUCUCCCUCACUAAAAGAUUAACCUGCAGUAGUACCUGUGUUAGAGAAAAAAGUUUAACCUGUGGUAGUAGUACAGUACCGAUGCUUGUUGGAAUGCAACAGGUGUGUGUGGGGAAGGAAGGAAGACGGCGCCUCUCUGGCUGUCCACAGGUAUUAAUACCGUUUUGUCUCAUCCCCUGUCUUCUACCACCAGCCGUAGAGAAGAAAAAAUGCAUGCAUGCCUGCCUGCACAUAAUACUAUAAAAUUACUGCCCUAAGUGUCACAUGAGAUUAGGUGAGUCUGUUUGCAUGGGGCAUUGAAGCCCGCCUCUGUCCUGUCCUGUCCCGUCCUGCCUUGCAGUUUGUUGCAUUUCACUGUACUACUGCUGCCAUCAGCAUGAUAAACAAGCAUAUCUUGGUCCAUAACUUUGACCCCUCAGUCAAACCAUCUGCCACCCCUGUCUGUCCUCCUGCCGCAACGCAAUGAAAAACGCAAUGAAAAUAACCAAUGUUGUACCAGAUGCUAGCCAUUGUUCCUCUGCUUCACCCCUGCCGUGCCACCUCCACGGUAUUUUCACCUUUUUCAGGCUCGCAAAUACGCCGGUGGCCGAGAGAUAAUACAGUACCAGUGGCGGCACCUGGGUCUCCUCCACUGUUUCUGGAUGCCGAUUCCACGCUUUGGUCCGUAUCUGUACGCGCCCUCCCUCGCUCGCUGGAGGAAGGAAGGAGGGAAGGAAGCAAUCAUUCUGCACGGCCGGGUAGCCAUGGAUGGGCUCGCGCACACGAACCAAAGCAAAGCGCAAGUGGGUGGAGGGAGGGGGAGGCGCCUUUUCCAGCGGUUUGUUGCGAUUGGAAAUCUCUCUCCAGCUUUUCCCCUCCGCCCGGGCAACAGAAAGGCGAGCCCUUUUCCCCUCAUGGCCACCGGGGAGGAAGAUUCCCUCUGCUCGCAUUAGGGUUUUGCUCGCUCGCCCCAUGCGGUUCCAAGAUGCCGCUGCUAAACCCUGUGCUGGCUUUAACUGUCGCUGGGAGAUGGACGGUGAAAGGAGGGGGAAUCUCCCGUGCGCUUUGUGAGAUUUCUCUCCCUCUGGCUCUGGCUCUGACUCAUCGCACUCCCUCCCAAUGCUCGUGCUCGGCUGGGCGGGCCGGGCCUGUGGUGGUGGUGUGCUUGCAUUGCGUGACAAUGACACGUCCCAGUCAGAAGAAGAUGGAGGAGGACAAGCCGUGGUGGAGGGGAACUGGCAAUCAUCAUCAUCACAAGCCAAGGCUGCGAGCCUUUUUGGCCACCCCAUUGUGCCGUGUGGCUUUGUCAGUGACUCAGCGCCCUAUGCACCAUUGCUACCACCUUCCAACUGUUCCAGAUAGGACAGUCAUCUUCUAACCUUGUUAACCACAACAGAAAGCUUUGGAUGAUUUCUACUCCAUUGGCCGGCGAUGUGUAGGUUCAAAGGAAAGCAAAGCAUUUUCCAUGGAGCACUAGUGUAACACUCACAGAGCCUUUGUUUUGAAGCCAAGGCAAGGCAUGGCGAACGAGAUGCAGCGUGGAGCAGAAGUUGGCAGGGGCAUGGAGGGAGCGAGCAAUGUGUGCGAGGCCCCAGAAGAUUUAACAAGGACAAAAAAGAAAUCGUGUGUAGGGGCUCGUCCAGCUAGAACGGCGAACUUUACGGGAAAAGACUGACAGGCGUAGCCUAGUUUUUCUAAUAAUUGCGCCCAUGAGAUUGAGAUUCCACAAGGAUUCGAGAUCAAUGACAACGCAAGUAAUGAUAUUUUAGCAGCCUGUGCUCCUGCGACCUAGGGAAGAUGUAUAUGUUAUAUCUCGAAUACUUUUCCCCUGCCCCUCCUUUUCAUUUCAAGCAAAAGGGGUGACGACUAUGCUGUAGCGCCCAAGUAACAUAUUGAUUUGCCCACUUGACCUAGAUUCGGUGUGGACUCGUGAUCAGCUGCGAUGCUA